This 325-nucleotide ribosomal RNA is filed under the name uncultured eukaryote. RNAcentral's name for it is "partial 18S ribosomal RNA". It matches the Rfam family "Eukaryotic small subunit ribosomal RNA", at positions 1470 to 1796 of the family's 1831-position model. The record is from RNAcentral.
CCCUUAGAUGUCCUGGGCCGCACGCGCGCUACACUGAUGCAUUCAACGAGUUUUACCUUGGCCGAGAGGCCUGGGCAAUCUUUUGAACGUGCAUCGUGAUAGGGAUAGAUUAUUGCAAUUUUUAAUCUUGAACGAGGAAUUCCUAGUAAACGCAGAUCAUCAAUCUGCAUUGAUUACGUCCCUGCCCUUUGUACACACCGCCCGUCGCACCUACCGAUUGAAUGGUCCGGUGAAGCCUCGGGAUUGUGAUGAGUUCCCUUUAUUGGGAGUUUGUUGCGAGAACUUGUCUAAACCUUAUCAUUUAGAGGAAGGUGAAGUCGUAACA